Malaclemys terrapin pileata is the source of this 457-nucleotide long non-coding RNA. RefSeq lists it as uncharacterized. The record is from RefSeq and is a predicted model, not a curated record. Lineage: Eukaryota; Metazoa; Chordata; Testudines; Emydidae. The transcript is spliced from 2 exons.
CUCUUGGCUCGUGCCGGUGUGACGACACGUAUAGCGACCCUCCCGUUUUGCAACUAUACUGUUUUAAUUCAGUGAGGACUGCACAGGAAGCCAACACAGUGGCUCCCCAAAUAAGAACAUCCUGGCAUACAUUUGAAACAGAGAAAGCUAUUGACAUUGAAGAUCCUAUUCCGUCUCCAGCAAAGCUGCAAGCCUUGUUUUGUCCGGCUGGGAGCCUGGAGAUCACAAGGAUACCAAACAGGUAAAAGCCCUCUGAGGGGGAGGGGGUUGUCCAUUGCCAAAAGGUUGUCCAAGGAGACAAGCUGACAAAGAAAGACUCUGCUGAGAAGUCUUUAGGAAGUUAAAUCUACCAAGAUUCCCACGUGAAAGACACCUGGAUGUCCAUAGAGUCAGUUUAUUAUUUUAAGAUCUAUUUUCUCUGAAAUGCUUUUGUUCAAAAUAAAUAUUUUUAAAAGGC